This 492-nucleotide ribosomal RNA is filed under the name uncultured bacterium. RNAcentral's name for it is "partial 16S ribosomal RNA". It matches the Rfam family "Bacterial small subunit ribosomal RNA", at positions 29 to 507 of the family's 1533-position model. The record is from RNAcentral.
AGUGAACGCUGGCGGUAGGCCUAACACAUGCAAGUCGAACGGCAGCACAGUAAGAGCUUGCUCUUACGGGUGGCGAGUGGCGGACGGGUGAGGAAUACAUCGGAAUCUACUUUUUCGUGGGGGAUAACGUAGGGAAACUUACGCUAAUACCGCAUACGACCUACGGGUGAAAGCAGGGGAUCUUCGGACCUUGCGCGAUUGAAUGAGCCGAUGUCGGAUUAGCUAGUUGGCGGGGUAAAGGCCCACCAAGGCGACGAUCCGUAGCUGGUCUGAGAGGAUGGUGAGGCCACCUGGAACUGGAGACCGGUCCAAACUCCUACGGGAGGGCGCAGUGGGGAAUAUUGGACAAAGGGGGCAAACCUGAUCCAGCCAUACCGCGUGGGUGAAAAAGGCCUUCGGGUUGUAAAGCCCUUUUGUUGGGAAAGAAAAGCAGCAGGUUAAUACCCCGCUGUUCUGACGGUACCCAAAGAAUAAGCACCGGCUAACUUCGUG